Molecule: long non-coding RNA, 1225 nt
Filed under: Canis lupus familiaris (dog)
Lineage: Eukaryota; Metazoa; Chordata; Mammalia; Carnivora; Canidae
Description: lncRNA (ENSCAFG00030015118.1)
Source: RNAcentral
AGCUUUCCCCAAAAUAUUAGCCUGAUUAUCUGCCAAUGAUACGAUUUUGGGUGAAUUAUUGGCUUUGUGUUAUGUGCGACUCCCUACUCAUAACCAAUUUUGAAAAUUAGCUGCCAAACUGACAGACUAUCUUUCCUCUGACUAGACCCCAAGGUCCAAAUAUAGGAGGCACAUCGUGGAUUGAUUGAUUGAUUUGCAUCAUGGUUUUAUAGGUUCCCCCUUACCCUUUGGAAACUAAAAGUUAAAAAAAAAUACCCUUUGAGAUGAUCAAACUAUUUCUUUCCUGUUCAUCUGGCAUCUUCUUGUCCCCACACAUGGACAUAUGGACUAGGAUUAUAUCUCCUAAUUAAAUGUAAACCGGUGCUUCUCAAUUACUUGUGAUGAGAGACUUUUAAAAAGCAAUUUUUUAAAGAUUUUAUUUAUUUAUUCAUGAGAGACACACACAGAGAGAGAGAGGCAGAGACACAGGCAGAGGGGGAAGCAGGCUCCAUGCAGGGAGCCUGAGGUGGGACUAGAUCCCGGGUCCCCAGGAUCACGCCCUGGGCUGAAGGCGGCGCUAAACCGCUGAGCCACCCGGGCUGCCCUCUGAUCCAUCUUUGAUUGUUUUGGUCUAUUUGUAGUUGAACAAAAUGCUCCUUGAUGGUUAGUUUCUCCACUAAGACUGGUGUCCAAAGGUUUGAGACCACACCCUAAAGUAGCACUGCUGUAAACAGUCAUCACUGUGCAGUGGCUCAUCCACGUAGGGUGAAUAACUGGUCCUAAACAAUGUAAUGAUUGCAGAGCAUUAAAUUCAUGCAAACUCAGCUGAUAGAAGUUAGUAAGUGGCAACAAGCCUUAAAACAAGCUGUGAACUAGAAACUUGAAUUGGGACAGACCCGUAUCCAUGGGAAUUGGGACCAUAUUGAUAUUCCCCUUCUGAAUCUGACUCUACAUUUUAUCUUCAAAGAACGGACUAUUUUUCUGUCUACUAAGAACACUGUGAGACAAAAAGGCAUUUUUAAAAAAUUUUCCUUUCCCCAUAAUCAAAGCUAGAACCUCUUGGACUGCCAAAAUAAUUUGUCUUUUUCCUAAAUCGAUGUUGUUAAAGAGUUAUACAUCGGGCCUGUAGUCUUUCUUAAAAGUUUGAAUAGCCAAUUUAGGAAUCACAGAUCAGUCAUAUAGUAAAUGCUAUUAAUAGAUACCUAAACAGUACCACAGUUGACUAGCUGAAUGUGAGGUCUGAGGA